Molecule: small nuclear RNA, 105 nt
Filed under: Salvator merianae (Argentine black and white tegu)
Lineage: Eukaryota; Metazoa; Chordata; Lepidosauria; Squamata; Teiidae
Source: RNAcentral
GUGUUUGCUUUGGCAGGACAUAUACUGAAAUUGGAAUGAUAGAAAGAUUUAGCAUGGCCCCUGUGCAAGGAUGACAAGCAAAUUUGUGAAGAGUUUAAAUAUUUA